ACACACCUAGGGAGUUUGCUGUUGGCCUGCGAAGACCCUUUAUGGGACAUGGAUCAAAAGUGCUGUUCCUCGAGAUACUUACCUCCAGUAUAGGAUCCUGGUGUCAAAAGGAAUCAGAUACGGCUCCAUUGUACAUGGCAUGACUUGUAUAGCCAGACAGAGCAGGUGUGGAAACUUCUGGAUGCCUGCUCUUGUGAGUUCACCUCUAUGUCUACUCUACUGAGGCCUCUCCAUACAGGUCUCAGUUUCCUGCCUUCCUGGGAAGUGGGGAAAGGCUGAGAGGCCCCGUGCUGGGGGUGAAGCUAAUUCAUUAGUUACGCCUCAACAAGGACCGGGUGCCUGCAGUGCCAGCGUGAUUCAUCAUGAUGAUUGCCCCACUGCCAGCCUGCGUGGGCCUGGAACGCCAGCACAUUUUACCUUUACCCACUGAGAAGGGCCUGGUGGGAGGUGAAGGUACAGGAUCUGCCGAGAGCAAGAAAAAGACUCUGAGAAAGAAGAGGGCUGGUCCUCCAUGCUCUCGGCCCCAGGAAGCUCUGCCAGGCUGGUGCCGGGGUGGAGAGGCUCAUGUGGGCUCAUGUGGUGCUGCCUGUGCUGAUGGAGCCCAAGAGGGCAGCCUGGCGCUGGGUGCCAGCCUGAGCAUGUGGCGAGGCUGGGCUGCUGAGCCUCCUCCUCCACAGCCAAUGUUCCCUCAAACUGCUUGGGGGUGGGGGGAGGGACUCAUCCUCAUCCCAUUAGCCUGGCUGGGUAUUCCCUACCUUUCUGGUCUCUGAGAGACUUACCUCUUCCAAGAAGUCCUCCCGAAUGAGUAGAAGGGAGAGAGCUGGAUUGGAACUUAAGUGACAUCUGGGAGGAGCCUGAAGCCCCUCCGGUUGGGGCUGAGACUCCUAUACCCUAGGUCUGGUGUCUGGGUUCCACCUGGGUCCUCUACCUUGGCCUGGAUUCCUGCUUUCGUUUUGCCAGUCUCUCCCAGGAUGGGGGUGCAUGGCUGGUUCGUGGCUCAGAGCAACAUCUGCCUCUGUGUCCCCCCAUCAUCUGUCCGCCCCCUAACACCUCUUGCCAUAUUAGAAUUGCUAUUGCUCUGUCCUUUCAUUCAUGUAUCCAACAAAUAUAUAUUAUCUGAAAAAAA
RNAcentral lists this long non-coding RNA (1126 nucleotides) under Homo sapiens (human). RNAcentral's name for it is "uncharacterized LOC105369329, transcript variant 2 (LOC105369329)". Lineage: Eukaryota; Metazoa; Chordata; Mammalia; Primates; Hominidae. The record is from RNAcentral.